CGGCUGACGGGGACAGUCGCGUCCCUCAAGAGGAGCCUGUGGCCCGGUGGCAUGGCCUUGUUCCGCCUUGCCCACAGGCGCCGGUCCUACAUGGAAAAUGAGGAGACAGACGAAGAAAAUCAUCGAGAGUGAAACUUAACUUGAAGGUCUAAGAAAACCGCCUCAGAGGUAAAUGAUUGAAGUUUGGCAAGAGGAGCCUCUGUCCUGGCAAUGGUGUAGACUCACUUGGCUGCCAAAUGCUGACUCUGCCAUCACUUGAAAUUCUGAGGUAACACACCUCAAGAGCACAUGAUCUCUUUGUACUGUCUACAGAUAUUAUUAACUGCACCUAUUACUGAUGUAGUAACAUUUUCUGACGGAUUUGCUGAAUCUCCUUGAGACAAAGAAGUGGAAAGCUUGCUGCUGGGGAAUACAGAGAAGAUGAAGUUAUAACUAUCUAAAGACAUGUAUGAAAAGGAUAAAAGAACGCUCUACUUCUGUCAAUUAAUUAUGUUGUCAGUUUUAGUGUUUUAGAAAUAAUUCUAAGAUGUGAAGAAUUCCUGUUUAGUCAUUUUAUUUCCCAUCUCCCUAAAGCUUUUUUUUUCCUUGGUAUGUGAAUUUAGUUCAGUAGGCAUUUAUAUAGCUUAGCUCCAACAGAAACUGUGGAAAUACACCUAUUCUGAAAUAGCUAAGUGUUGAAAAGCUCAUCUGAGUUGAAAUCUGUUCCAGACGGGGCAGAGCUGGUUUCAGAAUGAAGACCAUUGUCUAAACACGAAGUUACUUGCAGGGAAGACGUGUUCUUCUACCAUAAAUGCCAUCCUGAGAAUUUUUUCUAAGUAAAUCUUCAUUUGAAUGGUGAAUGGUAAACGGUAAAAACAGUUGGUUGAAAAAUUCCAGUGUGUCUGCAUGGCAAUCCUCUCUGACUAUAUUCUCUUGCUGUAUGUUCUCAGGAGCCUUUGCCUGAGCUUUGUAGAUACUAAAUAAGCAAUCUCAUCAUAUUUCACACCUUAGAGCAGGGAAAAGGUCAAGUCUCUCUGAAUCCAGGUGACAUGUGGAAGCAAGCAGCAGGAGCUGCUGUCAAAUGAUGAUGCUCUGACUCCGCUUCUUGGAAGUCCUAGGCAGGAGCAAAGAGUCUGCCCAUGAGCAAGGACUUCUCACUUUUCAGCCCAGACCCUUCUCAUACCAGGGCAGGGCUUGUCAUCUCUGGGAAGUCUGGUGAAGACCAGAGCACUUUGGGAACAACAAAAUAAUUUCAGAGUGCAGGAAUUCUUACAAGUGAAAUUCAAACUAAAAAUAUUUCUUUCCUUAGAAGCACACGUGAAAUAUCACAGUAAGUUUGGUGUAAUUUGCUAUUUUAUGACAAUUUUUAAAUGCCAAAAUUGACUUUUAACAUCAGUGUGUUCUAAGGGCAUGAUAUUUCAAUAUGGCUUAAAAUUGGGAUAUUUUGCUCUGAGUUACUGGCAGCCGCCCUUUUUAGUACGUUUGCAUAUUUGAUAGUAGUCUGAUUUCCAAGCAAUUAAAUUUAUUAAAUUUUUGUUGCAAAAAAAAUCCAACUUCAGAAGCCACACUAUAAUAACCAUCUUCCAGAACUGAAUGUAAUUUCAGAAAUGGUAUUUUAGGGUUUUUCCUAUUGGUUUUGGUCAUGAAAAAAAUAUCUUGCUAAAUAUUCGGUGAAUUUAUUAAUUGGUAAAAAUUGUAUUUUUAAUUAAUUCUUUUGUAGUAUGCAAAUCAAUGAAUAGAUUUUCCCAAUAGUUUGUUGAACUCGAGCAAUAAUACUAAAUAGAAUGCGCGAAUACUUUUUUUGAAUCAUCAUUAGAGAUGGGUGGCGAUUUCUUUAUGAAUAAUUUCAGUGUGAACUAUUGAAUCAUUGCAUAAGUUCAGAUAGUUAAAUAAGCAUAAAACUAACUCUUUAAGCAGAAAUAUUUAAUUUCAAGCUUUUUUUUUUUGUCCUUACUACUGGACAAAGUAUUUCUCCUAGCUGGAAGUGUUAGUGAGAACCCCUCGCCCAAAAUUCUCUUCUGCCAUCAUUGUAUUGUGAAUAAAUAACUCCUGCUAGUUUUAAAAUGCACGACAAUCUUCAUGAUCAUAAUCCUCAUGAGAAAUGCCAGUUACAGGUAAAGAUGCUUGCAGAAUACACAGAAGUAAUAACAGCUCGGUGUUAGAACCCCUGAUGAAAAUUUUUACAGGUUGGGAGUAAACUAAUGUAUUUUUAUGUAUUUUUAAAAGAGACAUAAAAGCAGCUUUGGUUUACAUGCCUCCAUCAGGUACAGAAUAGUGAAUACAUAGCUCCUGCAUUUGGAAGACAGGCUCUUUCUCCUCCUCUCUGCCUGUGUGGGAAUCAUAGAACCUGAGGAAGUAGGCAGUUGCAUUUUUUAUUUCCUCUUGAUCAGUCAUGGCAACUGGCAGAGAAAAGUACAUCUAAAGAUGUUUUAAUAGGUACACAGCUUUCAAAUGGAUAUUGAGGGCUCAUUGAAGCAUUCUGUUUCUGUAAGCAAUAUAAAGUUCAGUUUAUUCGAUAAAUAAUAAAACUGUAGCUUUAGAAUUAUGCUAUGUACAGUAAUCUUUCUUUGCACUUUUGCAUGAAUGUGCAAACUUCAAGAAAACCCUCAGUUACAUUUAAUUGGCCUUAGUGCUUUCAGAAGCGAUAAUUAACCUUAAAGAUUCUGAGGGCAAAGAUAAUUCUUUGCCCUUGCAGCCAAACUAAACCAGAAGAUAAACCUGUUGCCACUGGAGAAAUGAAGACAACAUCUGUGUUGCUAUAACCUGGAUGAGACUUUCAUGGACAGAUGAUGUGAUGCCUCCCUGUUUAAAUCAGUGUAUACACUGCUGUUUGUUUACAAUUUCAUAGUUGUCUUGAUCUGUAUAUCUGACCCAUUUACUGGCUUUAUUAGUUUUAAUUAUGACAGUCCACAUUCAGAUAAUAUGCAUGCAACUGAAAGUUUUUGAAGUGCAAGCUGUCACAUAGUGAAAUGCUGUAAAUCCACUAUAUUGUCAUAAAGAUUUUGUACUAGAAAAGGUUAAGUUUAUUCAGCAAAGAUCUGUUGCAUUCUUGCAACUAUCUGGGGGAAAAAUCUUCUUCUUGUAUAUUACCUUUUUUUACUAAAAGUAAUUUUAGUACUUUUUUGCUUCAGGCUUUUUUACUACAAAAAGAUUUUGCUUAUCAUGUUUUAGAGUCUGAUUUAUUAAAUUUCAAAUUAAGAUUGACAGAUUAUAUUUUGACAGUUUCUGGAUAUUUAUGCUUUCAAAACAGGUGAAUCCAUGAGGAAAUCAUUCUUAUCUUGUAAUCAUGAGUUGUACAAGACGAAGAAAUUUGCAUAUGCUUGGCUCAGUCUGUGAGGCGCAAAUAUCCUCAAAUGGGAAAUAGUUCUAUCAUUUUACCCUGUUCCUGGAAUAGUUCAAUCUGUGUGGUAAUGGUCUUGCAGUAAAUUUAAUUGCAGGCUGGCAUAUCUCCACUUAUGUUUCCCUUUUCUGUACAAUUGAUCUCUGUCUGAUUUCUGUGGUUUAAAAUUGAAGAACUUUCAUGACACUGUGAAUUUGUAAGACAAAAUAAAGCCAGACUUUGAAGAACAACA
Molecule: long non-coding RNA, 3551 nt
Organism: Strigops habroptila (Kakapo)
Lineage: Eukaryota; Metazoa; Chordata; Aves; Psittaciformes; Psittacidae
Exons: 5
Source: RefSeq, a predicted model, not a curated record